This 494-nucleotide ribosomal RNA is filed under the name uncultured Phyllobacteriaceae bacterium. Its description in RNAcentral is "bacterial SSU rRNA". It matches the Rfam family "Bacterial small subunit ribosomal RNA", at positions 888 to 1382 of the family's 1533-position model. Lineage: Bacteria; Pseudomonadati; Pseudomonadota; Alphaproteobacteria; Hyphomicrobiales; Phyllobacteriaceae. The record is from RNAcentral.
CCCGCUCAGAAACUCAAAUGAAUUGACGGGGGCCCGCACAAGCGUGGAGCAUGUGGUUUAAUUCGAAGCAACGCGCAGAACUUACCAGCCCUUGACAUACCGGUCGCGGACACAGAGAUGUGUCUUUCAGUUCGGCUGGACCGGAUACAGGUGCUGCAUGGCUGUCGUCAGCUCGUGUCGUGAGAUGUUGGGUUAAGUCCCGCAACGAGCGCAACCCUCGCCCUUAGUUGCCAGCAUUUAGUUGGGCACUCUAAGGGGACUGCCGGUGAUAAGCCGAGAGGAAGGUGGGGAUGACGUCAAGUCCUCAUGGCCCUUACGGGCUGGGCUACACACGUGCUACAAUGGUCGGUACAAAGGGUUGCCAAGCCGCGAGGUGGAGCUAAUCCCAUAAAACCGAUCGUAGUCCGGAUCGCAGUCUGCAACUCGACUGCGUGAAGUCGGAAUCGCUAGUAAUCGUGAAUCAGAAUGUCACGGUGAAUACGUUCCCGGGCCUU